GGCGGAGUAGCUCAGGUGGUUAGAGCAGCGGAAUCAUAAUCCGCGUGUCGGGGGUUCGAGUCCCUCCUCCGCUACCA
This 77-nucleotide transfer RNA is filed under the name Erythrobacter sp. RNAcentral describes it as "tRNA-Met". It matches the Rfam family "tRNA". Rfam says of the family: Transfer RNA (tRNA) molecules are approximately 80 nucleotides in length. The record is from RNAcentral. Lineage: Bacteria; Pseudomonadati; Pseudomonadota; Alphaproteobacteria; Sphingomonadales; Erythrobacteraceae. RNAcentral also lists the same sequence under 138 other names.